UGCACGCCGUAGCCAAACAUUUUACAAAAGAAACUACCAGUAUUAUUAUUUAUUUUUUACAUCGGACAAAUUCAGGUAGGUCCCUCCCCCUUUCGGCCCGUUUGGUUCCUGGUCAGGUCUGGGUUAGGUACGAGGUUAAUGGUCAGGUCUGGGUUGGGUGUGAGGUUAAUGGUCAGGUCUGGGUUGGGUGUGAGGUUAAUGGUCAGGUCUGGGUUGGGUGUGAGGUUAAUGGUCAGGUCUGGGUUGGGUGUGAGGUUAAUGGUCAGGUCUGGGUUAAGUAUGAGGUUAAUGGUCAGGUCUGGGUUAGGUAUGAGGUUAAUGGUCAGGUAUGAGGUUAAUGGUCAGGUCUGGGUUAGGUAUGAGGUUAAUGGUCAGGUAUGAGGUUAGGUAUGAGGUUAAUGGUCUGGGUUAGGUAUGAGGUUCCUGGUCAGGUCUGGGUUAGGUAUGAGGUUAAUGGUCAGGUCUGGGUUAGAUAUGAGGUUAAUGGUCAGGUCUGGGUUAGAUAUGAGGUUAAUGGUCAGGUUUUAAAAUCAGCUUACAGUAUAAGUACCUCUGAUUAGCCUGUAAGCCGAUAGCUACUGUCUGUGGUACAACACAAGAAAACUUUUCAGUUAGCUUUGC
Oncorhynchus tshawytscha (Chinook salmon) is the source of this 621-nucleotide long non-coding RNA. The record is from Ensembl. Lineage: Eukaryota; Metazoa; Chordata; Actinopteri; Salmoniformes; Salmonidae.